UCACAAUCACACCUAUUGAUUCCUGGUCAGCAGAUGCUGCAGCUCAAAAAGCUCCAGUAUGACCCUUGAAACGACUGCAUGAAUGAAGUCUUGCCUUUUUUUUAAUGGCCUCCCGACAUCUACAGCUGAUCCUUACAAGAAGCAUGAGGACAGCCUGGAGACAACCGGCUUGUCCGAAUCAUCUUGAGUCAACAAGAUAUUCACACUGUGGACUCGGAAGCGAGGCCAGCUUCGUGGGCAUGUGACCAGUGUGGUCACAUAGGGCCUGUUCUCAGAUGGGUCCCAUGUUUGUUUUAAUGCUCUGCUGUCCCUGUCUUGAAAAUCCUAAUAUAUAUAUGUAUAUAUAUAUUUUGCGGU
Non-coding RNA from Delphinapterus leucas (beluga whale), 357 nucleotides. The record is from RefSeq and is a predicted model, not a curated record. NCBI's taxonomy places the organism in Eukaryota, Metazoa, Chordata, Mammalia, Artiodactyla, Monodontidae.